UUAGCAACAAUCUCGAAUGAGUGUGAAUUUAGGUGACGAUUACAACUCUAUUGCAAGGUACAACUAGGGUUCAUGCGAGAUGGGGAAAGGGGAAAGUAGUUGCGCCGCCGAUGCCUGAUCCUCUAGAUGCCUUCCCCUCCCCAGCGAUGUGGUUAAGUAGUGGAUGCCAGCAGUUGGGCCGCAGUGACCCAGUCCGGCCCGCUGACUCUUGGGUUGGCCUUGAGUGGCCGCUUGGGCCGUGUGUCGCUAGGCACCUGAGCCCCGGCAGGUGGCCCCGCCUUGUCAGGGACGCUGACAUCCCCCUCUUCUUGACGUGCGGCUUGCCCCCAAGCCGCCGCGUGAGGAAAACGAGCGUGAAUCGCCUCCUUGUCCUCCUAGGUGAUGCCGGUGGCUCCUGACCAGCGCACUUGAACUUGCUCGAUGACGGAGCCGCGAUGAGCGCGCCAGCGGGAUUGCAGCACUUCCAUAGGAACAACAAGAUCAUCAACAUUCAUAGGCAGAGUAGUCCCGACUAGUGUACCUGAGUGCAGGGCUCGCCGGAGUUGCGAGACAUGAAACACCGGGUGCACCGAUGCGGUUGCUGGCAACUUGAGUUCAUACGUCACCUCGUUGAUCUUCUUGAUGAUAGGAAACGGUCCAAAGAACUUGAAAGAGAGCUUGUGAUUUGCCCGUGGAGCAACGGAAGUUUGAAUGUAUGGUUGCAGCUUAAGGAACACCUGAUCGCCCACUUGGAAUUCUCGGAACGAUCUCUUUUUGUCUGCCUGAGACUUCAUGCAUUGGCGUGCCCUGUUGAGGUGUUGCUGUACCAGGUCUUGCACCACUCGGCGUUCUUCUAGCCAUGCUUGGAGAGAAGGUACCGACGUACUGGGUGGAGUGGUGAUGCCCCAAUGCCGAGGUUCAUGGCCAUACAACGCCUUGAAAGGUGACAUCCCAAUUGCCGAGUGUGGUGCGGCAUUGUACCAAAAUUGUGCCAGGGCGAUCCAGAGACUCCAGCGGUGAGGGCAAGCUUGAGUGAAACAGCGGAGGAAUGUUUCUAAGCAUUGGUUUACCCGUUCUGUUUGGCCGUCUGUCUGGGGGUGAUUGGCCGUGCUCAUCCGCAGCUCUGUGCAUGCAUAUCGGAACAGCUCACGCCAUAAGUGGCUGGUGAACACUGGAUCCCUGUCCGAGACGAUGGCCCCUGGAAACCCAUGUAGCUUGUAGAUCUGAGACAUAUAGACUUGUGCCACUUUAGCUGCUGUGUAGGGGUGGGCGAUAGGAACAAAGUGAGAAAAACGUGUUCUCUUAUCCACCAGCACAAGAAUGCAGUUGAACUUCCCGGAUUGUGGUAGGCCAUCGAUAAAGUCCAUGGUGAUAAGGUCCCACGGGUGUUGAGGAAUUGGGAGUGGUAACAAAAGACCUGGAAAUGCAACACGGUCUGGUUUGGCUUGUUGGCAAACUUGGCAGCAUGCGACAUAGUGCUUUAUAUGGGCCUUCAUCUUAGGCCAUGCAAACAGGCGGCGGAUGCGCUUGUAUGUCACGGGGAAUCCCGAGUGACCGCCCAAAGCACUGUCAUGGAAAGCCGCCAUGAUUCGUUGUUGUAGUGCUAUGGAUCCCCCGAGCCAAAUCCGGUCACGAAAGCGCAAGAUCCCUUGCUGGAGUGAGAACCUCUUCUUGGGAUCAUCCCGAACAGCCAACUGUUCCAACAGAGACUGAGCUUGAGGAUUCGAAUGGUAGUUGGUGAUGACGUCGUCGAGCCAUGCGGGCUGACAAGAAGUGACAGCGGCCAACAUCUCCUUUGGUUCUGUUCGUGACAGUGCGUCGGCCGUGGAGUUUUCCACCCCUUUUUUGUACUUGAUGCACUAACGUAAGCCCAAGAGUUUUGUGAAGGCCUUCUGCUGCCAAGGCGUAGUCAAACGUUGUUCCUCUAGGUGGACUAGGCUGCGCUGAUCUGUGAAGAUAACAAACUCGGCAUGUUGCAGGUAUGGGCGCCAUUGAUCAACAGCAACAAUGAUAGCUAUGUAUUCUUUUUUGUAAGUUGACAACCCUUGAUAUCGCGGGCAGAGCGCCUUGCUCAUGAAGGCAAUUGGGUGACCCCCUUGUUGGAGGACUGCGCCGACCCCCUUGUCACUGGCGUCUGUCUCGACCAUGAACUGUUUGGAGAAGUCCGGAAGUGCCAAAACUGGAGUUGUGAUCAGGUGUUGCUUCAGGGUCUAGAAUGUUGUUUCUGUGAUCGACGUCCAGAUGAUUUGCAUACUUGGUGGAGAUACUUGUUGCUAUUACCAUGCUUUCCUUGUGCCUCAUGCUAUUGUUGAUUCUUGUGUUGGGAGAGUCAUGAUGUUCCGUUGCUAUUUACCUAGGACUUCUUGCCAAUACAAUGAUGAUACUUUCCUCAUAUCUUGCUUUCACUCUUGUGAUAUAUCUUGUGCAUUAUUCAUGACCACCAUUUGCUCACAUGACAUGAUUGUCAUGAUUACCUCUAGUACGUUGCAUCUUCGCACUACUAGCUUGCAUGACUUGAUUCAUAUGAUUGAUUGCUUUGUCGCAUCACCCAUGUUCCAUUAUUACUCGCUUUCUUGGGUUGAUGACAUAUAUGUUCAUGCCUCUCACAUGAUAUAUCUUGAUCAUUGUCUCUUGUCUCCAUUAGUUGCAUAUCUCAUAUCACCUUGUAUUGAGUGCCACCUUGCUAUGCGUAUUGAUUGUGAAGACUUGGACAUAUUACUUGUGAAGCAUGCUUGCUUACUUGAGCCUAUUGUCUUUGGUUGUAGUUGCAUCAUAUGCUUUCAUACCAUGCCCCAUCUUGUUCUUUCUUAUGAUAAGCAUGAUGAGAACACUUGUUGGGUAUCUCAACACUCGAAUGAUAGGUGCUACAUUUGCACUAACCUCAUUUGUUUUUCCGAGUGUUUGUCAUGUUCUUUCAUUUUGAAGGAUUCACAAGGCGGUACCGUCAUGAGACAUAUUGGUUAUGUGAAGGCAUACAAGAUGCACAACUCCAACAUCUUUGAGAAACUCCUAAAGGUGACCCCAUUCCUUUUGAGCCAUCCUCAAAUACGCAUAUUGGAUGGGUCAUUCUUUCAUUGUUGUUUCUUUCUUGUUGUCUACAUGAUACAUCUCGUGAACGGAGGAGCGACAUUGGAGAUGGACCCUAUGGACCUUCAAGUUGAGAAGUGCUCGGACUUAGUGGAUGCACCACCGGACAAACACUUCUACCACGACAUCGAGCUAUGGUAUAACACCACCCAUGACAAAUUUGCAUCUUAUGCAUGGAUUGACUCACAUUAUGAUUGCCUUGUUGCAUCUUGCAUUACCUUGUCUUCCAUGAUAUAUGAGCUUGUGAACUUCCUUAGCAAAUUUGUUGUGAUCUUUCUUGAUGGCAUAUUCAUACAUCAUGAUCAUAUUGCCUACCAUCAAUUGCAUGAUAACAUAAUCAUAUUGAGCAUCCAUUGCCAUAUUCAUGCUAUUGAUAAACCGUCUCACUAUGACAUCAUUUUGCACCGUGGUUGCAUUGAUCACAUUCACAAUACAUUUGUGUGCACAAUGAAUGCUUUUGCUCCCAUGAACGCUUUGCAUGUCAUUCUAUAUCAUCUUGAUAAGCUUCAUGCGCUUUGCCAUGAACAAUCUUGCCGCACGGACUCAUUCUUACAUGAUGGACACCUUGUGUGCGCUAACCAUUGUAUUUCCAAGUGUCGUUUGUGUUUGCUCUUUUUGCAUGUGUACCACUCCGGAGACACCUUGGAGUACUUGGAUUGUGCCAUGUCUUCCACUUCGUCCAACUACAAGUCCGUCCACGACAACCGUUUCCAUGGUGAUGAGGUUUUCGAUCCGAGGUCGGAUCUUUCCCAAGGGAGGGGAGAUGAUGCAGAGCAUCCUACGAUCAUCCCCAUGUACACUCGAGCCUACGCCAUUGGACCUAAGGUGAACUCGCUCCUUUUCGAAUCUUCCAUUUCCGCAUGUAAGACGUGGAUGCUACUUCAAGCGCGGACCUUGUGCAUACUCAGGUACACCCGAGGAGACCAUGGAGAGCCCAAGGACCAAGGCCAAGUGUGCGCGGGAGUGAAGGAAGGAGAAGGAAGAAGAGCCAGCUGCCACAGCAGUCGGACAUCCGGACAUGUCCCGGACAUCCGGCCCCUGCCCCGGAAAUCCAGCAUCGGCUAUCCAAAGAGCACCAGAGUCGGCCAAGUCAGCCCGGACAUCCGGCCCCCAGGCCCGUCGUGAGCCGCCGGACAUCCGGCCCAGCUCCCGGAAAUCCGGCGCCCCAUCACAGAAGGUGGACCCUGCCGGCCCAGACAUCCGGCCCCAGCGCCCGACAUCCGGCGUCUCGGGAAGGCCCGGACAUCCGGCCCCCCUGCCUGCGUGCAGCGCAUCUGGGCCGAGGCCCAUGUACCCCUUCGUCCCUUAGACUAUAUAUACUCCCCCACCUCCUCCUAGUUAGGGUUAGCAUUGGUUUAGCUCAUAUGUGAGGUAGAGCAUUGCUCAUCCAUACGGAUCUGCUCCACGAGAGAGACCGUGGCCCCUCUACGGACACGAUCCACGUUGGAUUCAAGACCCCCUCUUGGGUGGCCCCAUCAAGAGCUCCUCACGAAGAAGAACCGGUUACCCUUUGUAUCGUCCUUUGUUGGAUUUGGAUCUUGUAUCUCCUCUUGUGUUCCGAGGAUCUAGCAUAUGUGUGACUAUAUCUUGUUGGUUUUGAGAGUUCCUCUUGUGUUUUCCCUCGUUUUCCCCUCGUGUUCUUAGUUGGGAUCCGCUCCUUUCGUGAAAGAUCGGCUGUAUAGGGUUCCACCCUACAUCACAAACGGAAGCGGUGCCCGUGAAAUUGAGGGCGGCCAUGGGUACCCAGAAAGUGGCAUGGAUUCCAAACAUGGAGAAAUACUGCCCACACAAGGUCUUCCACAAAUUCGGGUUGUCCCCUGUGAAUUGUGGAAACGCAAUGGAGGGAUGGGCUUGGCCAAGUCCAGCCAGCAUCUGACUUGCAUGAGCGAAAGGAGACAGAGCUGAAGGAGACAGGAGAGAAUCGGACUGACCGCUGGCCGGCGGCGGCGGCGGUGUCUAGAACGACACCGUCGGCGGCCCCCAUGGUAGGUUGAAGACGCCGUGGCCAUGAAGCCCUGGAUGUGGUGUCGCCGCGCCAUUCACGGGUCCGAUGUGGACGUCGUGCGUCGCAGGCAGAGGUUGUGGCGGCUCGCGCGCGGCCAGAUCCGCGCCACCGUCCUUGGGCGGCGGCCUUUGCGCCAGCUGCAGCGCGGUCAUCGCGUCGCUGAGAGUCGCGACACGGCGCUCCAGAUCAGGACGCCACGUGAGGAGUUCGUCGAUCUUGGUCGACGUGACCUGCUGGGCCUUGGUCUGGGCGUCGAUCUUGGCCUCCAGGUUGGCCUCCAGCUUGGUGAGGAAGGCGGAAACGUCGGGAUCCAUCGCUUCCAAGUGCGUGCGAGCUUGGCGCGGGCUUCUGGUCUCGACGAGUUUCGCCAGAGCGAGCGGAGAGGGAGGUGGGUGGUCUCUGAUACCAAAUGAUAGGGACGAUCUAGCCUCUCAAUUACUUAGCAACAAUCUCGAAUGAGUGUGAAUUUAGGUGGCGAUUACAACUCUAUUGCAAGGUACAGCUAGGGUUCAUGCGAGAUGGGGAAAGGGGAAAGUAGUUGCGCCGCCGGUGCCUGAUCCUCUGGAUGCCUUCCCCUCCCCAGCGAUGCGGUUAAGUAGUACUCCAUCCGUCCGGGAAAAGUUGUCCACGGUGUAGUUUUAUUGUGAUUUUUGCAAAAAAGCCCUUAGGAUUUUAAAUCUCCCGCUAAUUACCCCUUUGCUUCUUCCUCCUCCGGACGCCCGCGGCAGGAACAAGCCCAGCGCGCCGUCGACAGCCACCGUAGAGCCCAGCGCGCUGCCGCCAACCUGCGUCGCCGCUGCGCCACCGCCCACCUGCGCCGCUGCUGCCAAUCUGCGGCGCCCCUGCCCACCUGCGCCGCCCGCACGAAGGCGAGCUGCGCCGCCGCCCACACGGAGGCGACUGCUCCUCCGCGGCGACCAACUGGACGUGCGCCUCCUCCACGGCUGAAGGCACCUCCCUCGUCG
This 6036-nucleotide long non-coding RNA is filed under the name Triticum aestivum (bread wheat). RNAcentral describes it as "long non-coding RNA (TAES_LNC018371)". The record is from RNAcentral. Lineage: Eukaryota; Viridiplantae; Streptophyta; Magnoliopsida; Poales; Poaceae.